Molecule: signal recognition particle RNA, 283 nt
Filed under: Microcebus murinus (gray mouse lemur)
Lineage: Eukaryota; Metazoa; Chordata; Mammalia; Primates; Cheirogaleidae
Description: Metazoan signal recognition particle RNA (ENSMICG00000038035.2)
Rfam family: Metazoan signal recognition particle RNA
About the family: The signal recognition particle (SRP) is a universally conserved ribonucleoprotein.
Source: RNAcentral
GCUGGGUGUGCUGGUGUGUGCCUGGUAUUCCAGAUACUUGGAAGGCUGAGGCAGGAGGAUUGCUUGAGUCCUGGAGUUUUGGGCUGUAGUGUGCUAUGCUCAUCAGGUGUCCCCACUAAGUUAGCAUCAAUAUGUGUGACUUCCUGGGACACGGUGGUGGGGGGACCACUAAGUUGUCUAAAGAGGGGUGAACAGGUCCAGGUUGGAGCAGGUCAAAACUCUGGUGCUAAUCAAUAGUAGCCACUGCACUCCAGCCUGGGCAACAUAGUGAGACCUUGUCUCU